Molecule: ribosomal RNA, 578 nt
Filed under: uncultured organism
Description: bacterial SSU rRNA
Rfam family: Bacterial small subunit ribosomal RNA
Source: RNAcentral
GAGUUUGAUCAUGGCUCAGAUUGAACGCUGGCGGCAGGCCUAACACAUGCAAGUCGAGCGGAUGACGGGAGCUUGCUCCUUGAUUCAGCGGCGGACGGGUGAGUAAUGCCUAGGAAUCUGCCUGGUAGUGGGGGACAACGUUUCGAAAGGAACGCUAAUACCGCAUACGUCCUACGGGAGAAAGCAGGGGACCUUCGGGCCUUGCGCUAUCAGAUGAGCCUAGGUCGGAUUAGCUAGUUGGUGGGGUAAUGGCUCACCAAGGCGACGAUCCGUAACUGGUCUGAGAGGAUGAUCAGUCACACUGGAACUGAGACACGGUCCAGACUCCUACGGGAGGCAGCAGUGGGGAAUAUUGGACAAUGGGCGAAAGCCUGAUCCAGCCAUGCCGCGUGUGUGAAGAAGGUCUUCGGAUUGUAAAGCACUUUAAGUUGGGAGGAAGGGCAGUAAGCUAAUACCUUGCUGUUUUGACGUUACCGACAGAAUAAGCACCGGCUAACUCUGUGCCAGCAGCCGCGGUAAUACAGAGGGUGCAAGCGUUAAUCGGAAUUACUGGGCGUAAAGCGCGCGUAUGUGGUUUG